RNAcentral lists this ribosomal RNA (703 nucleotides) under Campylobacter coli. RNAcentral's name for it is "bacterial SSU rRNA". It matches the Rfam family "Bacterial small subunit ribosomal RNA", at positions 830 to 1533 of the family's 1533-position model. The record is from RNAcentral. Lineage: Bacteria; Pseudomonadati; Campylobacterota; Epsilonproteobacteria; Campylobacterales; Campylobacteraceae.
GCUAGUCAUCUCAGUAAUGCAGCUAACGCAUUAAGUGUACCGCCUGGGGAGUACGGUCGCAAGAUUAAAACUCAAAGGAAUAGACGGGGACCCGCACAAGCGGUGGAGCAUGUGGUUUAAUUCGAAGAUACGCGAAGAACCUUACCUGGGCUUGAUAUCCUAAGAACCUUUUAGAGAUAAGAGGGUGCUAGCUUGCUAGAACUUAGAGACAGGUGCUGCACGGCUGUCGUCAGCUCGUGUCGUGAGAUGUUGGGUUAAGUCCCGCAACGAGCGCAACCCACGUAUUUAGUUGCUAACGGUUCGGCCGAGCACUCUAAAUAGACUGCCUUCGUAAGGAGGAGGAAGGUGUGGACGACGUCAAGUCAUCAUGGCCCUUAUGCCCAGGGCGACACACGUGCUACAAUGGCAUAUACAAUGAGACGCAAUACCGCGAGGUGGAGCAAAUCUAUAAAAUAUGUCCCAGUUCGGAUUGUUCUCUGCAACUCGAGAGCAUGAAGCCGGAAUCGCUAGUAAUCGUAGAUCAGCCAUGCUACGGUGAAUACGUUCCCGGGUCUUGUACUCACCGCCCGUCACACCAUGGGAGUUGAUUUCACUCGAAGCCGGAAUACUAAACUAGUUACCGUCCACAGUGGAAUCAGCGACUGGGGUGAAGUCGUAACAAGGUAACCGUAGGAGAACCUGCGGUUGGAUCACCUCCUUUCUA